UGAGUUUGAUCAUGGCUCAGGACGAACGCUGGCGGCGUGCUUAACACAUGCAAGUGGAGCGACGAACCAGGGCUUGCCCUGGGGCAAAGCCGCGAACGGGUGAGUAACACGUGGGUAACCUGCCCCGAUGACUGGGACAACCCGAGGAAACUCGGGCUAAUACCAGAUGAGUUCAUGCCACACGAGUGACAUGAGGAAAGGAAGCUUCGGCCUCCGCAUUGGGAUGGGCCCGCGGCCCAUUAGCUUGUUGGUGAGGUAACGGCUCACCAAGGCUUCGAUGGGUAGCUGGUCUGAGAGGACGAUCAGCCACACUGGGACUGAGACACGGCCCAGACUCCUACGGGAGGCAGCAGUGGGGAAUCUUGCGCAAUGCGCGAAAGCGUGACGCAGCAACGCCGCGUGCGGGAAGACGGCCUUCGGGUUGUAAACCGCUUUCAGUUGGGACGAAGCUUCGUCGGUUAAUAGCCGGCCGGAGUGACGGUACCUUCACCAGAAGCCCCGGCUAACUACGUGCCAGCAGCCGCGGUAAUACGUAGGGGGCAAGCGUUGUCCGGAAUCAUUGGGCGUAAAGAGCGUGUAGGCGGCCCGAUAAGUCCGCUGUGAAAGUCCAGGGCUCAACCCUGGGAUGCCGGUGGAUACUGUCGGGCUCGAGUCCGGAAGAGGAGUGUGGAAUUCCUGGUGUAGCG
Molecule: ribosomal RNA, 686 nt
Filed under: uncultured bacterium
Lineage: Bacteria
Description: bacterial SSU rRNA
Rfam family: Bacterial small subunit ribosomal RNA
Source: RNAcentral